AAAAAAACAUCUAGUAAAGGGUCAUUGCCAUUUGCGAAAAAAACCAUCUAGUUAAGGAAGCAUAAGUUGGCAAAUGGCAAUUAAUGCAUGAAUCAUGAUAAUGAUUAAUAGCAAUAACACCCACAUUUUUUCACAUUGUACACAUUCCUUGAGAUGAUCUAGGGACCCAAUUGCGUGUCAACCCCUCCUUGGCCCAAUGCUGACCAAUCACUACCUCUUAAAUGUGGAGUUUCAUAUUCAAAUUCAAAAAUCUGAUUAACAUGAACAACUAAGCUAAAGAUCACAUUGAGCCUUCAAAGGGGUAGAAUGAUUCAUCAUCAUCUUCUUUACAAAUCUAGGUAGGGUUUAGAUUAUUUGUAUUAGUUGCAGUUGUUAAUGUGUGGGGUUAUUGAUGGAUCUUGUCAGCUGUUUAAGAAAAUGCCUUAGAGAAAUUUUGUUACUUGGGCAGUUAUGAUUUUUGCAUAUGCAGACUGUGGGAAUGAUCAAGGCUAAAGUUGUUCUUGUUAAAGUAGGCAUGCCCAAGGGACAAGACAUAUAUAGGGAAAGCAAUAAUUUGAGAGUAAUUAAGCUUAAAUGUCUUAUACUGGUAGCCCUUGAAACUUAUGGCAGUAAUUAACCUUAAGAAUCAUUGGCUACUAGGGAGUACAAACUGAGUUUUGGUCGCACAAAGCUGACAAGUGGAAUUGACAAGGGACUGUCCAACUUAGAUGGGUAUGUGAAAGGAAAUGAGCUUCUUGCGCGGUUCAAGGUAGUGCGGCAGGGAAAGAACAAUUGCAAAAAUGCCGUUUCUUGAGUAAGUAAUUUUCUCCCCCUUCUCCAAUAAUGGUAAUACGUAUAUUCUACUUCCAUCUGUUUUUGUUUUCUUUUCUGUUUAUAAUUAUCUGUUUUUUUUUCUAUUGAGUAGUUUGAUGUUUUAAUAGAUUUGAUUUCAAUAAAUAAACUUCAAUCCUUUAUGUCUGUCAACCCUCUCAUUGCAUUUGUUUCAUCCCAUGUAACAUUAGUUAGGAAGAUAAGAAAGAUGUUAAAUGCACUCGCAGAUUCAUUACUGAGUACAGAACACGAGAAAUAGUAGAAACUGAUCCAUCAUAACACUAUGAAAACAUCUACUUGUAAAUGUUUACAAAAUCAAAUUAGUAAUAAGAUCAAGUAACAGGCUUACAAGUUAAAAUCACAUUAAUCAAAUUUAUAACAAGAUCAAGUACAGUUUAUUGUAUCAGUCCUUGGAUGAAGCUUGAUAGGAAGACCCAUAGCUGGAUAAGGCAUUGGUUCACGUGUUAAAGCCUCAUUGGGGAUCAUUUCUGUCCAUCGAUAAUUGGUUAUGAGAUGAUGAAUGAUCAACAACAUCUCGAUUCGUGCAAAAUCGACCCCAGGGCAACCACGCGGUCCAGCUCCAAAAGGGACGUAUGUAUAUGGCAGAACUGAUUUUGACGGGUUUUCAAAUCGGGAUGGAUCAAACUUCUCUGGUUCUUGAAAUAUCUUUUCGUCCAUGUGAGUCGCACAUGCAACCCAAAAUAACUGUGAUAGCAUAUGAAAGAGGUAUUUAGAUUAACCAUACAUGAUUAGUUUAACAAUGUUGAAUAACAAUUUCGUUUUGGCAAAAGAUUUCCUACCUGUUAAUUCAUUUCUAGUUAACACUACUUCAGGCAGUUAAAGCGACUAAAACUUAUUAAACGAAUAGGUCACUUUGGAUUUGCUCCUGACAUUUCAGUCUUUCAAACAGUGGACUCCGAAAAGGAAUACUCAUUCAUUGAACUCAAAUAGGUGACACAUACCUGCCAUCCUUUUGGGAUAUCAAAACCGCCAAAGCUGGUGUCUUUAGUUGUCUUCUUGAAGUUACCAAAUACUGGAGGAGUCACUCUCAUGAGCUCUUGGGCCACUCUCCAUGUAUACUUCAUCUUCUGCACAUCAUUCCAUUUAAGCUUUCCAUCCUUUCCUUCUGUCGUCUUAAUAAUUUCCUUGUGCUCUAUCAAAUAUAACAUACCCUAAUCAAUAAAAUAGAAACGAAAAUAAUUUCUCAUAUAUGUGUAUGACUAUGACCAUUUGCAGAGCAAGGGAGGCAAUUCACCACACCCUUCCCCCAACACACCUUAUUUGAAAUUCACUACCUAGGUGCGAAGAGAAUAUAUACAAACAUAACUUCUUUACGGUCAUGGACCGUAAAACGCUUGGAUUUGUACACUGAUAUUGUGCACGCGUGAUAAAAUUCUUGGCUUUGGCCUUGGUCUCCAUACAAAUUAUAUGGUCAACCACAUAUGAAGUAUAUAUAUAUAUCAAAUAAACCUUCACUGUCAAUAUGGUGUGACUCUAAAAUUCCUAUCUUUAACCAAGGCCAGAUUGAAAUCAAUUUCAAACGUAUGACGGUUCUAGCUUACCUGCAAGAACUGUGUCAUAAACAUGAGUAUCUCUAGCAAGGUGUCUUAGAAGGAGAGUCAAUACAAUUGCUGCGGUGUCAUGACUUGCAAUAAUUAAGGAGACGAUGUUAUCAACAAUCUCAUCUUCUAAUAACGAUUCAUCUGCAUCUCUUAAAAGAAGAAAACUUGAGAUAAUAUCUUCACGGGACUUCCCUAUACCCUCUUCCAUUUCUUUCUUUCUUCUCCUUACAAGUUUAGUGAUCACAAUAGUUAUCCUAUCUCUUGCCUGGACCGCUUGUCGAAAAAUGGUUCCUGGAAAGUCUAUAGGAAUUGCCCAUGUACCUUUAAGGGCAAUUGUAAAAUCUUCAAGCAAUGCAUCUUUCUCUUUACCUUCAGGUAAUCCAAAGAGCAAGCUACAAGUAACCUUGAAUGUGACCUUCUUCAUCAUCGUCACAACAUGCACUGAAUCUUUCCCUUUGAGCUCCUGCACCAUAAUCAAACCUUUAAAAAAGAUGUUAAUUUAUUUAUUUUACUAGUACAUUUGUAUAUAACCAAGGCAUCAUUGCUGUGUGCCUGUGUAGCUUUCUUAUAUCACAAACAAAAACAAAAAAUCUGAUGUGUGUCAAACUGUCAAGUACUGGCGAUUUUAUAUGAUCCCUUUCUAUAUCACGAUUUUAAGCCCUGAAGCUAACUCUGAUAAAAAGCAUUAGAACAGUGAUAUAUCAGCUUUGUGUUGUAGCAUAUGUCAGAGCUAGUGUAUGUUUGCAAUACCUGUAACAAUUGUUCCUUUAUUAUUGAAUCCAUCUCUCCUACAAAUCUCUGAAUGCUUUCAGGUCGAAGAAAGUUCAUCAUUGCACCCCUGACAAGCUUGUGCCUUUUCCCUUGAAGUUCAAAGAUGCUGUGUGCCCCAAUAAUUCUGGCUACUGAAACGGGUUGGUUGCUCGCAAUGGCGUCAUUGGCACUGAAGAUGAACUUGUUACCCGCUUGCCCAGUAAGGACAACCACUGGAGAUCCCAUGAGCGAAGUCUUGAAGAUAGGGCCAUAUUGCGACAAACGUUUAUCGAGCCAUUCUUUUGUUUUGUCAUUCUUCUGUGCUUUUAGAAAGCCUAUAGACUCUCCAAUGAGUGGAAAACCUUGUGCUCCUGGAGGAAGCUUCUUGCCUAACAAAGGUGAGAUUUUAAAUUUAUAAUACCCACCAAAAAGGGCUAGUAUUGUUGCUAUUACAACAGCUAGAAAUGGUAGUUGAGAUUCAAAGUAAGGUUGUAUAUGGCUCAGCAGUGACUCCAUUGAUGAUAUGAGGAAUUAUUACCGUAAGAGAUGACUAAGUACCAAGAACACAAUCAAAUUAUUUAUAGACCUUACAAACACAUUGUUAAGAUUCUGAAAUUUAUUAUAUGCGUGCUCACUUCAGACUCUCUGAAUUUUUGACAAAUGUAGCCUUAAAUUUGCAGAAAAUUGGUUUUUAUUGUUUGAGAUUGGCUUGUGAAAAUGUAACACCAAAUACAAUACAGAUGUGGCAGAUAUGUCAUACAUUGUGUCUUAUUAUAUGAUAUAUGACCAAUUGAGUAUCUAAUCAAUUAUAAUUAAACAAACAUCACAAACACAUAUUACAUAUUUCAAUCCGUCCAAGGCGGC
RNAcentral lists this long non-coding RNA (3986 nucleotides) under Aquilegia coerulea. RNAcentral's name for it is "long non-coding RNA (ACOE_LNC001785)". Lineage: Eukaryota; Viridiplantae; Streptophyta; Magnoliopsida; Ranunculales; Ranunculaceae. The record is from RNAcentral.